GCGUAUAUUAAGUUGUUGCAGUUAAAAAGCUCGUAGUUGAAUUUCGGGGUCAGUAGGUUGGUCGUGCCUAUGGUAUGUACUGGCUUUACUGAUUCCUCCUUCUUGAAGAACUGUAAUGUCAUUAAUUUGGUGUUGCAGGGAAACAGGACUGUUACUUUGAAAAAAUUAGAGUGUUUAAAGCAGGCUAACGCUUGAAUACAUUAGCAUGGAAUAAUGAAAUAGGACGUUUGAUCCUAUUUUGUUGGUUUCUAGGAUUGACGUAAUGAUUAAUAGGGAUAGUUGGGGGCAUUAGUAUUCAAUUGUCAGAGGUGAAAUUCUUGGAUUUAUUGAAGACUGACUACUGCGAAAGCAUUUGCCAAGGAUGUUUUCAUUAAUCAAGAACGAAAGUUAGGGGAUCGAAGACGAUCAGAUACCGUCGUAGUCUUAACCAUAAA
This 434-nucleotide ribosomal RNA is filed under the name uncultured Glomus. Its description in RNAcentral is "SSU rRNA". It matches the Rfam family "Eukaryotic small subunit ribosomal RNA", at positions 597 to 1036 of the family's 1831-position model. The record is from RNAcentral. Lineage: Eukaryota; Fungi; Glomeromycota; Glomeromycetes; Glomerales; Glomeraceae.